RNAcentral lists this long non-coding RNA (5764 nucleotides) under Homo sapiens (human). Its description in RNAcentral is "HSALNT0330075". The record is from RNAcentral. Lineage: Eukaryota; Metazoa; Chordata; Mammalia; Primates; Hominidae.
CCCUAGAACUUAAAGUAUAAUAAAUAUAUAUAUAUUAAAAAAAAAAAAAAAAAGAAAGCUCCAGCAGCAACAAGGUGCAGACACUGGACGAGAAACAGGAGUGAGAAACAAUGGUGAGAAGUCUAUUGUGGUCAGCAAGGUGGAAGUGAUGGGGCCCUGAAUCUGGGCAGUGUCUGUUGUGAUGGGCAAAAGAAGAAGUGGAUUUGAGAGCCUUUAAGGACAGGCAAUUGCUGGGAGCUAGUUAAUGUAAAUUAGCUUCUUCCAGACCACAAGAAAUUGGCCACCAAAAAUAUAAAAUUUGGGGUUGGGAGGCAAAUGCAGAAACCCGAAGUCCUUAUACGAAGUCAGCUCUGGGGUGGAAUAAAACAUUCCCAUUUAUCUGUUUUCUAUUUCAAAACUCCUCUUUUAAGGAGAUGUAAGAAACAUCUAUUUUUUGAGCAUUGGCAUACAAUUCUUUGACAACAGCAUUUUAAUACUAAAAAAUGGAGAAACAGAGGGAAGAAGAGACUUGGAAUCACUCUGUCCUGGCUGUGGGUCUAUGAAAAAGAAUGUGGCCUACUGCUAAAUACAUUGAUUUUGAAGCUAGAUAGCUCUGGUUUUGGGGAGCAAGUGAUUUGAUCUCUCAGAGACUCAGCUACUUCAUCAGUAAACAGAGAUUACCAUAUCCACCAGUAAUGGCUAUAGGAGCAGUAAUAGGGAUGAUAUAGGUGAAAGCACUGAUCACUGAAUGAUUCCAAAGACAGGUGCAGAGAGGUUCAGGCAUCAGACAGGCUACCUGGAUCCAAAUCCCAGCUCCAUCAUUUACUACUUUCAUGGCCUUUACAAACCACUAAACUUCUCUCUGAGCUUCAAUUUUCCCAUCUGUAACAUGGGAACUAAUAAAAUGAAACCUUCCUAAUAAAGUUGCCAGGAAGAUUCAUUGAGACAUUGAAUGUAAAGUAUUUAACUCAAUAUAGAGCACAGGGGAGCACCAAAUAAAAUUCAGGUGUUACAUUUUUAAGCACGUGUUCACCAAGGCUCCCAAUUCAGGUGGUGAGGAUUCUAUGAUGAUCAAUUCCUCCUAAGGUAUUUGUAAAAUGACCCACCAGAUUACCAACCAUUCCUGUAUUUCCAGAACCCUUUGGAGUCCUUUAUGUAACCUGGGAGAGCUGUUAUUCUUUUUUCUUUUUGGUAGAAGUGAAAUCCUGCAGGAAAACUUGCUCCAUUUUGGUUAUUUCUGUUAUAUCACAAGGUGGGCUGGAUAGCAAGUUUUGGAAGCACUGAACACCCACACGGAGCUGGCUCCUCUCAGGCGGGGAGGCAUCUUCACUAAGGAGAGGUGCAGUCUGUGUCCCCGUCCUUGACUCUGAGAAUCCCUGUGAUCAACAGAAUGCAGAAAAGUGACACUGCAUGGCUUCUGAGGCUAGGUCCAGAAAAGGUGAUGCAGCUUCCCCCUUUGCGCUGAAAUGCAGUGCUUGGACCUCAGAGCUAUUGACUAAGAAGUCCAUGCACCCUGAGCUUCUCAUGCUGGGGAAGCCACGUGUAGGCAUUCAGUUCCCAGCCCAGCUGAGCUCCAUCCUGGCUGCAACAAUUGUUCUCAUGAGGAAGCCAUCUUGGACACUCAGCUCCAUGGAGCCUCCACGAGUCGCCAGCCCCAACUGACAUCUGUCUCACUGCAACCACAGAAGAGCCUCCAACCAAGAACUGCACAGCUGAACCCUUUCUAAAUUCUUGAUCUCCAAAAAGCCAUGCACAAAAUAAAAUGGUUGUUUUGAGCCACUAAACUCUGGAACCUCGAGUAGGGGAGAAGUUCCUUUGGGUAGGUGUCAUUUUCCUAGGCUACCAUUCAUUUUCUCUUAUUUUGGUGAUAGCAGUCUGAUUUAUGUGUGUGGGUGGGUCGGGGGUAACCCUGAUCUUAAGUCAUGUAGUUCAGGUGCCUCCUGGAUGUGCCUGCCUAACCAUCAUAUCCCCACUACGGUACGGUGUUUGUAAAGAGUUGAGCAAAUAAUCCAGGACAGACCACUGAGAUUCUGCCUUGUGACUUUUGUUAAAAUUAGUGAGAAAAAGUCACUCUCGGGGCAGGCUGGAGUAAAGAGGGAUUGCUAAAUAGAUGCUAGGUAGGCCUGAAACUGCUGGGGGCCAAUUUAUUAUGAAGCAGGAAGAACCUAAUAAGGAAUAAAGUUACUCUGGAGGAAAGCCAAGCAAAGGAGGGUGAGAGACAGCUUCCUGAUGAGACUAAGCUUUGGACCCAGUUUUGCCUGGAACUUCGGCAGGCUGUUUUAGUUUCGUAAGUUAAUACGUACUCCUUUUUGAUUAAGCUAUUUCAGAGGUGUCACUUGCAUCUGAAAGAUUCCUAAUACAGACAGGUAAGAUCAGGUCAUGGAGGGCUUUGUGCCCUGUGAUGGUAAAGUUUUACUUUAUUCUGUAAAGAAUGAGAACUAUAUUUUAAUCAGGAGCAGGAUGAUGAGAUGUACACUUUAGCAAGACACCUGAAUGCACUGAGAAGGGAUAUUUUGGUGUUAGGAACAGGGAAAUGGACUAGGAGUAUAUAGUGUUAGUUUAGGACAUUAUGAUGCCAACUAAUAUAGCUGGUGGGAUUGGAUAUGCAAUUUGAGAAAUAUUUAAAUCAUGGAAUCAACACAAUUCAGACAGGUUGGGUGGUGUUGGGAUAAGGAAGAGAGAAGAAGCAAGGAUGACUUUUAGAUGGAUGGCUUAUAUACAAGCUGGACUAUGUAUCACUAAAGAGAAUAUUAGCUCCAGUUUAUGUCUGAUGACUCAGAAGUUAAACAACCUGCCCAAGGUUGUGUACCUAGUAAGAGCAGAACCAAUCAGGUCUUUAGGCUCCAAGACUUUCAUUCUUUGAAUUGUAUCAGGCCACUCACUGUGUUGAGGCCGCCAUGUGCACUGCAUUCCCAAGAAAUCAUAGCACAUGGGGCUGCUUGUUGUUCAGCACAUCAGGAGGAAGGCAAAAUUAUUAAUGCUUUCUUUUGGUCUCCUUGCUGUGUCUGACUUGCUACCAAACAAAACCUCUGCAGCAGGGCAUUUGUACUAUUCAGGUUUUCUUGGCUGACUUAUCAGCAUUUGUGAAAAGUACAGACGAUUUUGUUCCAGCCUUUCUGCAUUCUGACUUCAGAAGCUGAUUACAGAUGCAGAAACAUGAAGGGAGGUGAAAUCUAUUUCCCAAGAUGGACUAUGGAUUGGUUCUAAAGAUCAAAAGGGUGUGGCUUUUCAAUACAAACAACAAAGUCUGGGAGUUUUUGCACAGUGGAAGAGAAAGGCAAGUAGUAAGGGUGGCAAAGUGCUCAUUAGGAAGAAAAGUUAACAGGAAAACUUGGUUUAAAUCAAGGCAAGUAUGAAGAGAAGGUUAUCAACUUUAUGAAAAAGAGGACCAGAGAAGGCGAAGUGGCAAGCUGAGUGGCGAAUGCUGCUUAUCAUAUAUCCAGUUAAAAUUUCUUGGUCUCAUUCUUCACCAUUGUUAAAAUACUUUAACAUAUUUUAUAUACACUUAAAUAUCUGCUCCUUUCUAGUAAUAUAUUUUAUGUCUUUUACCAUCUUUGAGCCACAAUGAUCUCAACUGUGAAAUGGGAGCAGUAACAAAUUGCACCAUAAGAUUGUUGUGUUAAAUAAUGGCAUGAAUGUGCUUAGCCUGUUGCUUGUCACAUGGAAUCUGCACAGUUAAUGCUCAUAGCCUGUAACUCUUCCCAUCCUCUUCAGCAAGCUUUUAUUUAAUGACGCAGUUACGAAUGAGAAACUCCUGCAAGAAUGAUCAGUGUGCAUUGGAUAGAUGUUAAUUAGGUAGGACAGCCAGCAUUAUGUUCAUUUGAAGGGGAAAAAAACUGAGGUUUUCAGAGGUUAAGUAGCUUGCUGCAAAGUGCUUAGCUAUCAACAAAUAGGAGGUGGUUUUCUCCAGAGGGCCCCAGGUGAGAUGCACAGGUGUUACCCAGUGCAGACUUUUGGUCACCUUCACUUAACAUGGUGAUUGUUAUCAGAUGAGAAAGAAGACACCCUGGAAUUGAGAAAGUGCCAUACAAGAUGAGGCCAUUGCAAAGAGGAAAAAAGAGGCCCUGUGUGAGGCUAGGAAGACAGCACAACAAUGAGCCCAUGGCUUGCCAGGAAAGGAUCAGAAAUGGGAGGAGUGUUGUAGGCUAGUGGGACAUUCUCAAGCUUCAGAUCAGGUGAUUCUGUGCCCAAAUUAUCACUCCUCCAUGUAUUAUCUGUGUGACUUUGAACAAGGUUGUGUAACCUUUCUAAGCCUGUUUCUUCUUUUUUUUUGAUUUUUUUUUUUUGAGAUGAAGUCUCACUCUGUUGCCCAGGCUAGAGUGCAAUGGUGCGUAAUCUCGGCUCACUGCAACCUCUGCCUCCCAGGUUCAAGCAAUUCUCCUGCCUCAGCCUCCCUAGUAGCUGGGAUUACAGGCGAGCACCACCAUGCUCGACUAACUUUUGUAUUUUUAGUAGAGAUGGGUUUCACCAUGUUGGCCAGGGUGGUCUGGAACUCCUGACCUUGUGAUCCACCCGCCUCAACCUCCCAAAUUGCUGGGAUGGAUUACAGGCAUGAGUGGCCGUACCCAGCCUUGUUUCUUCAGUUCUAAAAUGGAUAUAAUAAUGUCUUAUUUAAUUAUCACUGUUAGUAUACAUUGACAUGUCUUGUAAAGUACCCAUCCAGUCCAAUUCCUUAGGAAAUGCUUAAUAAGUAAUAAUAAUUAUGAGCCUAAUUAUUGUUUUUAUUUUGGAGCAAGCCUUAGCUGAACAUUUUCCCUGUGGAAAAAGAUUGUUUGAAUGGGCAUUAACCAAUCUGGAGGGAUUUAUAACAUUUCAAAAAGACUGUUAUAAAACUAGGGAUAGUUUGCCAGAACUGAAAAUCAAUGCAUUUAAUGUUCAGCUGUUUUGAAUGAGGAGGUAGUGCAGGUAACAGACUCUUGGCAGCCCAUCCCCAUUCCUGUUUCAGUCCUGAACCCAGGCAUGGGCUUAAUGUGAGAGAUAGAAAUAGGGCAAUCGAUGACUGAGAUUCAGAAAUGGGGCAGAGCCGGAAAUGUCUGUUGUAAAUUAAUUAAUUUUAAAAAGUCAAUUAGUGAAGAUGUGUUUUUACAUUUUGAAGCCACUACUUCCCGACUUGUCUGGAAAGCCUGAGAUUAAGAAUCACACUUUGGAGGUAAGGGAAUACACUAGUCUGUUCUUGCCCUGCUAUAAAGAACUACCUGAGACUGGGUGAUUUAUAAAGAACAGAGGUUUAAUUGGCUCCUGGUUCCACAGGCUCUCUAGGAAGCGUGGUUGAGGAGGCUUCAGGAAACUUGCAAUCAUGCAGGCACACAUUGCAUGGCUAGAACAGGAGGAAGAGAGUGAAGGGGGAGGUGCUAUACACUUUCAAACAACCAGACCUCGUGAGAACUCACUAUUAUGAUAACAGCAAGGGAGGAAUUCACCCCCAAGAUCCAAUCACCUCCCACCAGGCCCCUCUUCCAACUUUGGGGAUUACAAUUUGACAUGAGACUUGAGUAGGGUCACAAAUCCAAACCAUAUCAUGGGACAAGUGAUUGAAGACUCAUCAUUCUGUUCUGAAUGAAUUUUAUGACCAACUUGCUGUGUAGAGGGAGACAUUUGCCAAAUUUCAUUCAUAAUGGGUUCUGCAUACAGAACAGCUCGGAUUCCAGUUAGCCAUUAUUAUUGUAUGAACUUGCAUGAGUCACUUAAAUAAUUUGUGACCCAAUGUACUCAUCUGUAAAAUGGAGAUGCUAAUGGUAACUUGUUUGUAGCCUUUUGUGAUGAUUAAAUAAGAUUACUUUGUAAA